Molecule: ribosomal RNA, 476 nt
Filed under: uncultured bacterium
Lineage: Bacteria
Description: bacterial SSU rRNA
Rfam family: Bacterial small subunit ribosomal RNA
Source: RNAcentral
AGGACGAACGCUGGCGGCGUGCUUAACACAUGCAAGUCGAGCGGAAAGGCUCCUUCGGGGGUACUCGAGCGGCGAACGGGUGAGUAACACGUGAGUAAUCUGCCCUUGGCUUCGGGAUAACUACCGGAAACGGUGGCUAAUACCGGAUAUGACCACUCCUUGCAUGAGGUGGUGGUGGAAAGUUUUUUCGGCCAGGGAUGUGCUCGCGGCCUAUCAGCUUGUUGGUGGGGUAAUGGCCUACCAAGGCUUCGACGGGUAGCCGGCCUGAGAGGGUGACCGGCCACACUGGGACUGAGACACGGCCCAGACUCCUACGGGAGGCAGCAGUGGGGAAUAUUGGACAAUGGGCGGAAGCCUGAUCCAGCAACGCCGCGUGAGGGAUGACGGCCUUCGGGUUGUAAACCUCUUUCAGUACCGACGAAGCGCCGAUGAUGGUGGUGACGGUAGGUACAGAAGAAGCACCGGCCAACUACGUG